CAAAAAGUAGUUUAACCAAAAUAAUAACUUUGGGAGUUAUAGAUCGAUUAUUACUAAUUGCUUUUUGA
RNAcentral lists this transfer RNA (68 nucleotides) under Halosydna sp. YZ-2018. RNAcentral's name for it is "tRNA-Pro". The record is from RNAcentral. Lineage: Eukaryota; Metazoa; Annelida; Polychaeta; Phyllodocida; Polynoidae.